Long non-coding RNA from Poecilia latipinna (sailfin molly), 1047 nucleotides. RefSeq lists it as uncharacterized. The record is from RefSeq and is a predicted model, not a curated record. The transcript has 2 exons. Lineage: Eukaryota; Metazoa; Chordata; Actinopteri; Cyprinodontiformes; Poeciliidae.
CGCAGAUUACAACGCACUCAGGCAUAAGGCUGAAUGUCAGAGAUUAAUUGGGUAGACUGUGAUGCGCCUGAGCUUACUGUAAAUACAUCUGGUACUUACUUUAGAGCAAGUGACUCAGCUAGAGGCUUUCUCCCGGCUUCUGGAGACGUGUUUGAGAGGAAUAUUAUUUUUACCGUAGAUAAAGUAAUUCUUGUAAAUAUCCUCAGCUAACUUUUACAGAGUGCUUUUUCACCCAAGCUUUUUCAGUCUCUCCAUUUUACUCAUUUUGCUGUACAGUUCCAUAAAUACCAUCGCUUUUGUCAGAUGUACACACGACGAUUAAAACGCAGCAGCUUUGCUGUCCAAGUGGACACUUGUCCAUCUGCAGAAUGGAUGUUUCUGUGUAACACAAUUCCAAAUUAUUCGCAGUAUAUUUGCUUGUUUUUGCUUGGAGCGCAUCUACAGUUUUGAUAAUGAAAUGCAACUUGACAUGGGCACAGUGUGACCUUCCAUGCUAGUGGCUGGCAUUUGCAAAGCAGCACAUGAUGCUGCCGCCCCUACAGCAUGAUGCUGGCGGAGGGGUGUUCAGAGUGAUGGUUCACAUAUUUAUCUGCUAAGACCAUGUUUCAGUCAUUAAAAGCUAAGUUUCUUUCUGAUUCGUUCUGUAGGAACGAAUCAGAAAGGGAUUAAUUUGCUUACAAAGAGAUUAAUUUGUUUCCACAACCCUUAACUAUUCAUGUUGUACUUCCCACGUCAGCAACACUUGAGGAUGAAUCUACUUGGUGGUAUUGAUACUCGACACUUGGCUCAUGAAUAAGUAAAGAAGGCAAAUAGCUUUGUUGGCAUACAGUAACAGAGCCAUUAGGGCUUACACACAGAGACAAAGCAUCCUCUUUACAUUAUUCAUAGAUGAUGCAGUUUUAAUGUGAAACACAGUUGACGUGUGUAAACUCUGUUUAAUUGGUGUGUGUCGGUAAUGAAGCUGAUCAUCAUGCUGCUUCACCAGCCCACAAACUGAUUUUUUUUUAUGGCUGUUGGCUCUUUUUGUGGCACACAGAGUUCUGUAAC